This 267-nucleotide ribosomal RNA is filed under the name uncultured bacterium. RNAcentral's name for it is "partial 16S ribosomal RNA". It matches the Rfam family "Bacterial small subunit ribosomal RNA", at positions 28 to 283 of the family's 1533-position model. The record is from RNAcentral.
GAUGAACGCUAGCUACAGGCUUAACACAUGCAAGUCGAGGGGCAUCAGGAAGAAAGCUUGCUUUCUUUUGCUGGCGACCGGCGCACGGGUGAGUAAACACGUAUCCAACCUGCCCUUUACUCGGGGAUAGCCUUUCGAAAGAAAGAUUAAUACCCGAUAGCAUAAUGAUUCCGCAUGGUUUCAUUAUUAAAGGAUUCCGGUAAAGGAUGGGGAUGCGUUCCAUUAGGUUGUAGGCGGGGUAACGGCCCACCUACGUCUUCGUAUGGA